UACUGCCACCGUACUACCCUAAAUGCACUGAUUUCAUCUGACUCUGGAAGCUAACAGGGUUGAGCCUGGUAAGUCUUUGGGUGGGAGACCACCAGGAAACCCUGGGGAACAGCUGCUG
Molecule: ribosomal RNA, 118 nt
Filed under: Pogona vitticeps (central bearded dragon)
Lineage: Eukaryota; Metazoa; Chordata; Lepidosauria; Squamata; Agamidae
Source: RNAcentral